UACGGAGGGAGCUAGCGUUGUUCGGAUAUACUGGGCGUAAAGCGCACGUAGGCGGCGCAGCAAGUCAGGGGUGAAAUCCCGGAGCUCAACUCCGGAACUGCCUUUGAAACUGCAGUGCUAGAAUCCUGGAGAGGCGAGUGGAAUUCCGAGUGUAGAGGUGAAAUUCGUAGAUAUUCGGAAGAACACCAGUGGCGAAGGCGACUCGCUGGACAGGUAUUGACGCUGAGGUGCGAAAGCUAGGGGAGCAAACGGG
RNAcentral lists this ribosomal RNA (253 nucleotides) under uncultured bacterium. Its description in RNAcentral is "partial 16S ribosomal RNA". It matches the Rfam family "Bacterial small subunit ribosomal RNA", at positions 524 to 776 of the family's 1533-position model. The record is from RNAcentral.